RNAcentral lists this long non-coding RNA (241 nucleotides) under Elaeis guineensis (African oil palm). Its description in RNAcentral is "long non-coding RNA (EGUI_LNC018465)". The record is from RNAcentral. Lineage: Eukaryota; Viridiplantae; Streptophyta; Magnoliopsida; Arecales; Arecaceae.
GAGCUAGAUCAGCUAACUGAGGUGAAGUGCUGCUCGAUGUGCUCGCUCCUGCUGAUAGUGAAUCCAGUAUCAGUCUGAUCUUCCUCUCAAUAUCAAGAUCCUGUCAUUAAACCUGAGCAUAGAGCUCUCUACACUUUUCAAUCUGGAGCUCAGGUUAGACAAUAGCUGUAUCAAGGAAGAAAUGUGUGGCACGACUGAGAGAUCUGAAGAAGAGGCAGAAAAAGAACUCGAUUGAGGUGGG